This 323-nucleotide ribosomal RNA is filed under the name uncultured bacterium. RNAcentral's name for it is "bacterial SSU rRNA". It matches the Rfam family "Bacterial small subunit ribosomal RNA", at positions 32 to 366 of the family's 1533-position model. The record is from RNAcentral.
AAUCAACGCUGGCGGCGUGCCUAACACAUGCAAGUCGCACGAGAAAGGGACUUCGGUCCUGAGUACAGUGGCGCACGGGUGAGUAACACGUGAAUAAUCUACCUUCGAGUGGGGAAUAACUGAGAGAAAUCUUAGCUAAUACCGCAUAAUACCCACGGGUCAAAGCAGCAAUGCGCUUGAAGAGGAGUUCGCGGCAGAUUAGUUAGUUGGCAGGGUAAUGGCCACCAAGACGAUGAUCUGUAUCCGGCCUGAGAGGGCGCACGGACACACUGGAACUGAAACACGGUCCAGACUCCUACGGGAGGCAGCAGUGGGGAAUUUUG